UACGGGGGGGGCAAGCGUUGUUCGGAAUUACUGGGCGUAAAGGGCGCGUAGGCGGUUCGUACAGUCAGACGUGAAAUUCCUGGGCUCAACCUGGGGGCUGCGUUUGAUACGUGCGGACUUGAGUGCGGAAGAGGGUCGUGGAAUUCCCAGUGUAGAGGUGAAAUUCGUAGAUAUUGGGAAGAACACCGGUGGCGAAGGCGGCGACCUGGUCCGAUACUGACGCUGAGGCGCGAAAGCGUGGGGAGCAAACAGG
Molecule: ribosomal RNA, 253 nt
Filed under: uncultured bacterium
Lineage: Bacteria
Description: partial 16S ribosomal RNA
Rfam family: Bacterial small subunit ribosomal RNA
Source: RNAcentral